CAAAAUGUAGCUAAAUAUAGCAUUUGCUUACCCUAAAAGAUUUCAGGUAACCGUGACCAUUUUG
Molecule: transfer RNA, 64 nt
Filed under: Murexia naso (Long-nosed dasyure)
Lineage: Eukaryota; Metazoa; Chordata; Mammalia; Dasyuromorphia; Dasyuridae
Description: Phascomurexia naso (Long-nosed dasyure) tRNA-Val
Source: RNAcentral